Molecule: ribosomal RNA, 279 nt
Filed under: uncultured bacterium
Lineage: Bacteria
Description: partial 16S ribosomal RNA
Rfam family: Bacterial small subunit ribosomal RNA
Source: RNAcentral
GAUGAACGCUGGCGGCAGGCCUAAUACAUGCAAGUCAAGGGGCCCCGCCUUUGGGCGGGGCACCGGCGGACGGGUGAGCAGCGCGUACACAACGUGCCCCUGACCGGGGGACAGCGGCGGGAAACUGCCGGUAACACCCCAUGGCGCCGCGGGGCGGCAUUGCCCGGCGGCGAAAGUUUCGGCGGUCGGGGAUCGGUGUGCGUCCGAUUAGGUAGUUGGCGGGGUGACGGCCCACCAAGCCUGCGAUCGGAGGGGGUGUGAGAGCACGGCCCCCCACAU